Molecule: long non-coding RNA, 740 nt
Organism: Hemiscyllium ocellatum (epaulette shark)
Lineage: Eukaryota; Metazoa; Chordata; Chondrichthyes; Orectolobiformes; Hemiscylliidae
Exons: 3
Source: RefSeq, a predicted model, not a curated record
CUUUUUGAAGGUUUCUCUGAGAGUCCGUUUCCUCCUGCUAUUUCCUCACUUCUCGUUAAAUUCAAGACUGGGUGACGAAUGGAAGAUUUGAAGGUCGAACUCGAAUGCUGAAUCUAGGAUAAAAGACAAGAUUCUUGGCAGUGUGGAGGAACAGAGGGAUCUUGGUGUUCAAGUACAUAGAUCACUCAAAGCUGCCACCAAGUGGAUAGGAUUGUUAAGAAAGCAUAUGGCGUUUUGGCUUUCAUUAACAGGAGGAUCGAGUUUAAGAACUGCGAGGUUUUGCUACAGCUCUACAAGUCCCUGUUUACUCCUGAAGAAAGUAAUCCUACUUAUGAACAUCCUCCAUUGGCCAUAUAACAGAGAAAUUAACAGUGGGGUGUUGGGAGGAAACUUACCUGUUUCAUUAUACUGGUCUCAAUGGAGUUCAUCUUUAUUUUAUUCGUGGAUGACGGCGUUGCUGGCUACACCUACAUUUCGGCACAUUCCUAAUUGCCCAGAAAUUCUGCUUAUAAAACCAAUUCAGAUUUUUGUUCCUUGUAUUCCAGACAAAAUAUUUACUAUUUUAAGCAAAUAUUUCUGAUUUUGUUUACAAAACGCCAACUGCAAAUACGGUACAAAUCUUAUUUCCAGUACACAAACUCACCACAGUUCCUAUCAGGGUUGAGCCUUAGCUACAAUGUCAAAGUCUAUUGAAAUACUGGAAAAUAUUUAUUUAUAAAGAUCUAAAACAGAUUAUUCAU